CACGUAGGGCGCAAGCGUUGUCCGGAAUUAUUGGGCGUAAAGAGCUCGUAGGCGGUCUGUUACGUCUGCUGUGAAAACCCUGGGCUUAACCCUGGGCUUGCAGUGGAUACGGGCAGACUAGAGGCAGGUAGGGGAGAAUGGAAUUCCUGGUGUAGCGGUGAAAUGCGCAGAUAUCGGGAGGAACACCAAUGGCGAAGGCAGCUCGCUGGGACGGUACUGACGCUGAGACGCGAAAGCGUGGGGAGCAAACAGG
This 253-nucleotide ribosomal RNA is filed under the name uncultured bacterium. RNAcentral describes it as "partial 16S ribosomal RNA". It matches the Rfam family "Bacterial small subunit ribosomal RNA", at positions 524 to 776 of the family's 1533-position model. The record is from RNAcentral.